Molecule: ribosomal RNA, 734 nt
Filed under: uncultured bacterium
Lineage: Bacteria
Description: bacterial SSU rRNA
Rfam family: Bacterial small subunit ribosomal RNA
Source: RNAcentral
AUUGAACGCUGGCGGCAUGCUUUACACAUGCAAGUCGAACGGCAGCACGGGGGCAACCUUGGUGGCGAGUGGCGAACGGGUGAGUAAUGCAUCGGAACGUAUCCUUAAGUGGGGGAUAACGCAUCGAAAGAUGCGCUAAUACCGCAUAAUCUCUAAGGAGAAAAGCAGGGGAUCGCAAGACCUUGCGCUUUUGGAGCGGCCGAUGUCUGAUUAGCUAGUUGGUGAGGUAAAGGCUUACCAAGGCUUCGAUCAGUAGCUGGUCUGAGAGGACGACCAGCCACACUGGAACUGAGACACGGUCCAGACUCCUACGGGAGGCAGCAGUGGGGAAUAUUGGACAAUGGGGGAAACCCUGAUCCAGCGACGCCGCGUGUGUGAAGAAGGCCUGCGGGUUGUAAAGCACUUUUAGUGGGGAUGAAAAGUUCAGGGCUAAUAUCCUUGGGCAUUGACCUAACCCACAGAAAAAGCACCGGCUAACUCUGUGCCAGCAGCCGCGGUAAUACAGAGGGUGCAAGCGUUAAUCGGAAUUACUGGGCGUAAAGCGUGCGUAGACGGUUCCGUAAGUCGGGUGUGAAAGCCCCGGGCUCAACCUGGGAAUUGCAUUCGAGACUGCGAAGCUAGGGUACGGAAGAGGGAAGCGGAAUUUCUGGUGUNNNGGUGAAAUGCGUAGAUAUCAGAAGGAACAUCAGUGGCGAAAGCGGCUUCCUGGUCCAGUGCCGACGUUCAAGCACGAA